GACGAACGCUGGCGGCGUGCUUAACACAUGCAAGUCGAACGGAAAGGCCCUGCUUGCAGGGUACUCGAGUGGCGAACGGGUGAGUAACACGUGGGUGAUCUGCCCUGCACUUCGGGAUAAGCUUGGGAAACUGGGUCUAAUACCGGAUAGGAGCCAUCUUUAGUGUGGUGGUUGGAAAGUUUUUUCGGUGUAGGAUGAGCUCGCGGCCUAUCAGCUUGUUGGUGGGGUAAUGGCCUACCAAGGCGGCGACGGGUAGCCGGCCUGAGAGGGUGUACGGCCACAUUGGGACUGAGAUACGGCCCAGACUCCUACGGGAGGCAGCAGUGGGGAAUAUUGCACAAUGGGCGCAAGCCUGAUGCAGCGACGCCGCGUGGGGGAUGAAGGCCUUCGGGUUGUAAACUCCUUUCGCUAGGGACGAAGCUUUUUUGUGACGGUACCUAGAUAAGAAGCACCGGCUAACUACGUGCCAGCCGCCGCCGUAACAC
This 485-nucleotide ribosomal RNA is filed under the name uncultured bacterium. RNAcentral describes it as "bacterial SSU rRNA". It matches the Rfam family "Bacterial small subunit ribosomal RNA", at positions 28 to 526 of the family's 1533-position model. The record is from RNAcentral.